Molecule: RNA transcript, 1945 nt
Organism: Cyclopterus lumpus (lumpfish)
Lineage: Eukaryota; Metazoa; Chordata; Actinopteri; Perciformes; Cyclopteridae
Gene: rsrp1
Gene name: arginine/serine-rich protein 1
Exons: 4
Source: RefSeq, a predicted model, not a curated record
CCACCAACUAACCGUUGUCCCUCCACACCAGCGAAGGCGGCAGUCGGUUCAACCUCGACGGAAGAGAAAACGGUCGCGUUUUCGCUAAUAUCCAGCAACAAACCAACACAUUUCUACCACGUUUGAGCUUUAUUCGAGGACAAUCUUCUUUUUAUACAUCUAAGAAAGUGAUUCUUUUGAUAUAACGUUAGCGUUAUAGCGUUUACAUCGACGGUAUCGGAACAAAGGCUUCAAGCUCCAGUCGGCCUGCUCGUGGCAGAAAAUACAACAAUGGCAAAGGGAGAAGACUCUCACUUGGAGAUUGCUCACGUUAGUCAGAGCGAUGGUAUCAACGUCACCUUUGACCAGAAUUGCUCUCCAUCAUCUCGCUCCCGAUCGCGGUCCAAAAGCGACAGCGCUGGCCGCCACAGGAGGCGUAACAACCGCAAGGGAGUCCACAGGUCGUCAUCCCGCAGCAGGUCCUCCUCCCGCAACCGGUCCCGCUCUCACCCCCGUUGCCACAGACCUUCCUCCCGCUGUCGAUGUGACAACCAUCGCGGGUCUGGUCGUGUUUGCCGAUCCCCGCCACGGCGCCACAAGGACAAGUCAGGCUCACCGUCGCCCUCCAGACACUCCCACAACCGACGCAACAGGCCCCACUCCAGGCCAACCAGCCGUCGGAGCCGGCAGAGUAAGGAGGUGAGCAGGUUUUCCCAGUCCCCGGCCAGAAACAACAGCAGCAGCUCGCGGUCCGGAUCUUCAGAGCAUUCAGUCAACUUGAGUUUGGAUGAUAAAGAAAUCCCCAUCGAGGCUGAAGAGGCCGUUGCUACCAUGAUCCCAGGAGUGGAGAAGUGCGAACUUCCUGAGAAUGUGGAACCAAUCCUGUUGGAGCAGGCGGUGGAGCCCAAACGGGUGUUGACAGGGACAUGGGUGAGACAAGACCCUGAAAAGACUCCUUCACAGGUGGGUGUCUUGAUAGUGAUGGUCCGCUUCACAUUGAACACAAUACACACUUAAAAUAAGGCUUUCUCACAGAUUCUUAUUAAAAGCACAGCCGUUCUUUCCCCAUCUAGGACGACAGUUAAAUAUAAGAUAACAUGACAGUGGUCUCCUUCACUCAUCGGCACCUGGGAUUAAAGGGCUGUCAUGUGACUUAGGUGACAACAAUACGUGUUUGCGUGAAAGUUUAUCUGAUAAUCCUUGCAAUGUUCACAAAGUCUUAAGUUAACUAGAGGUUAGCAAUUAAACAAACACAUAUGCAGAUUAUCAGACAUGGUGCACACAGUCAAUAUAAAUGCUAAUACCUCACAUAGACGCUUCAUGAUCAAUUCAGAUAUUGUAUUACACUGACUCCACUUGAUAUAGAUAGGUAGUAGAAUUUUGACAUUUUCAAUGUAUUUAUGCUUGAAGUUGAAAUGGGUCGUUGUUAUUUAGCAGAAUCCUUCACUCGCUGAUGGAGCAAAGGCGUGUGGACUGCAUUAUAGUGACUAUCCCUGUCAAGAGAGCUAAAAACAGACGAAGAACUCUCCUCUCCGUAUUCCAAAGAUAAGUUGGUUCACCAGCCGUGUGCUGAGGGCUGGGAAACCUACGUCACCAUCAUUCUGCCACUGUAGACAGAGAAUACAUCCUUUUUUUUUUACUAUGAUACUUUUCGUUUCUUUUUGCAUUUUCUGUUUUGUUCCUUCUGUUUCAAUGCCUGUCCUUGUAGGAUGAUUUUAAAUGAUGGAGCCAAGUCUUUGACAGCAGUGGGUGGGGGGGGUGGGCUGUGUUGGUGUUGAAACAAACUUAAAUAAAUCACUAUGCAGUGCUUUACAAUAUUAGAAAUGGGAACUAUAAUCUAUCUAUAAUAAUGUAACAAACUGUCAAAGCACACAUAAUCAGUUAUACGCGCAUAUCUCACUAGGUAGGUUUUUCUUGUCUUUUUGAAACAGAGCGACGAAGAGCUUGAUGAUGUGUUCAGCACGAG